Cottoperca gobio is the source of this 1554-nucleotide long non-coding RNA. RefSeq lists it as uncharacterized. The transcript has 7 exons. Lineage: Eukaryota; Metazoa; Chordata; Actinopteri; Perciformes; Bovichtidae. The record is from RefSeq and is a predicted model, not a curated record.
GUUCAAUAACAGUAGGUCCAUCCACAACUUUUGACAAUGGAAAACCAAAAAAGAAAGGUUCAAUUGCCAUGCAGUGGAAAUGCAGCAUCGGUCAUUUGGUCAUCCUGUAUGGAUCCAAGCAUUAAACUGCACAGCAAAAACUGGAGAGUUGACAUUUCAGGGUUAAACAUUUCUGAGUUGAUUUCAACUCACGUAGUGUUACUUUAACAUUUUCGGAUUCAAAUGGUGUUUAUUGUUGGAGUUAUUUAAGUGUUAAUCAUGUCAGAGUUAGACCAACUCUGCAGAGACGUGAUUAUGCUCCGCCCCUGCAUGUCACUGCUUCGGUUGGAGACGAGUCCACGACAAGUCAGCUCAAUUUUCUCUCCUCAUGCAGUUGACAGGUAAAAAUGUUGGUCCAGGUGAAGUACAGACAACAGCACAAGUAUGUGAAAUUGGAUGCAGUUGAAGGACAGUUUGACUUUCUACAUUUCAAUGAAAAAGUCGUUGAGAGAUUUUGCCUGCCACCUGAUGCAAAGGUUGUAUACAAGGAUGCAACGGAGACAGAAGUUAAUACAGAAAUAUUCAGAGACCUCAUUGGACGAGGCAACGUGGUGCUGAGUUUUCUCAGAGUUCUCUGAAUGGUCCUUUUCCCUCUGCUUCUGUUAAGUCCGAUUCAAGCUUCAGCUCAAGUGCAUCAACUGCGAAUGUCAAUGAGGUUCCAAGCAAGAGACAAAGAAUCGAGGAUACACUUGAUGCAGUGUCUGCUAAACAGUUUUAUUCCAGGAACACUUCCAUGAUGCUGCAGGCAGCACAGGAUAUAUUUCUUGGCGUCUGAAAGCAAUCAAACGAAAGAUUUGUCAAGGAUCUGCACCAUCACCAAAUAGCCCUAUGGACACUUCUCCCAAAUGUCCAACGAGGAUUACCAACGGAUUGGUGGAUCAAGACUUCCCCCUCCUAUUUGAUGACACAUCCUCCAGGCUCCUUCAGAAAUGUGAUGUGUUCUUCAGUCCAAAUGUCAUAAAAGAGGCUAGAGUGGCUUACUUCAACACCCAGAGUUGUGUCGCUUGUUGCAGCAGAGAGUCCCACAGGAAGUGAUCUUGAUGAGACAACAAUCAUGCUGCAGUUUGGAGGCAGCAUCUCCGCAACCAGCAGGGUCGGCAGCCAUACCUCCUCGCUGUUGGGCGUCAGAAGAGCAAGAUUGACAGCUUCUACAUCACCAUGGAUAAGCAUCUCAUCCCACGCCAGGCAAACCGCUCCCUACCUCGGGGCUUUCGACGAACUUUCCAAAACCCAUUGUGUGUUUAAUUUGUCGUACGAUGCUGCGUUACUGAAUUGUUACACAUUCUUACAGACAACAGUGUAUAACAGUGAUGUGGAGAAAAUGAAGGAGUCAGUCAGAGUCAGAGACUUGAGAGCCAGACUGCUUGACCAGCUAGUACCGGUCUCACUCUCUGAGUAAGAGGCUGAAACAAUACUGACCGGUUUCAUGUGUCAGAAUUUGUAUCCCAGCAGCCAGAAGUUAAUGGUGUUAUACUGGAGCCGUUGAUAAAUGAUAUAAAAUUACUGAAAACCCAA